GAUGAACGCUAGGACAGGCCUAACACAUGCAAGUCGAGGGGCAGCACAUGAGUAGCAAUACGAUGGUGGCGACCGGCGCACGGGUGAGUAACACGUAUGCAACCUACCUUCUACCAGGGGAUAACCCGUUGAAAGACGGACUAAUACCCUAUAAUACAGGGGCUCCGCAUGGAGAUAUUUGUUAAAGAUUCAUCAGUAGAAGAUGGGCAUGCGCAUGAUUAGCUAGUUGGCGGGGUAACGGCCCACCAAGGCAUCGAUCAUUAGGGGUUCUGAGAGGAAGGUCCCCCACACUGGUACUGAGACACGGACCAGACUCCUACGGGAGGCAGCAGUGAGGAAUAUUGGUCAAUGGGCGAGAGCCUGAACCAGCCAAGUCGCGUGAAGGAAGACUGUCCUAUGGAUUGUAAACUUCUUUUGUACGGGAAUAAAGUGGGCUACGUGUAGCCUUUUGUAUGUACCGUACGAAUAAGGAUCGGCUAACUCCGUG
RNAcentral lists this ribosomal RNA (487 nucleotides) under uncultured bacterium. RNAcentral's name for it is "bacterial SSU rRNA". It matches the Rfam family "Bacterial small subunit ribosomal RNA", at positions 28 to 507 of the family's 1533-position model. The record is from RNAcentral.